This is a long non-coding RNA of Syngnathoides biaculeatus (alligator pipefish), 1175 nucleotides long. RefSeq lists it as uncharacterized. The transcript has 5 exons. Lineage: Eukaryota; Metazoa; Chordata; Actinopteri; Syngnathiformes; Syngnathidae. The record is from RefSeq and is a predicted model, not a curated record.
CUUCCCUCCGGCGCCGGAGCCGCUGGCGGUGCCCCCCGUGCCGGAGCCGUUGGCUUUGGCGUUGGCGGCGCGCUCCUGCUUGCGGAACUUGGCGCGCCGGUUCUGAAACCAAACCUGGUCGAUCUUCAGAGCCAGCUCCUCCCGGGUGUAAAUGUCCGGGUAGUGGGUCUCGGCGAAGACCCGCUCCAGUUCCUUCAGCUGGGAGCUAGUGAAGGUGGUCCGGAUGCGCCUCUGCUUGCGUUUCUCGUUCAGGCCCGAAGGGUCCGAGAAGAACUUCGCGUACCUGACGAGUAGGGCGUGGGCUGGUGGUCGCGCAGGGCCCCCAGCGUGCAGCUGGCCGAGCUGAGCGGGGCGCAGGCCGGGUUGGAGAAGGGCCCGCUGCGGAUCGGGUUGUACUGGAAGGAGCCGGCCUGGCUGCACGAGCUGAAGUCCGCGUAGGCCGAAGCUUCCAUGGCGGCCAUGCACGAGUCGUAGGAGUUGAGGCAAAGUGAAGCUGUCAGUCAUGCCGCCAGCAGCGCCGUCCAUCCAUCCAUCACGGAAGCACAAAGAACCAACACGCGGUGACGGAACAACACGAGCCGACAACAAGGUUGCAAGAUGUCGCCCCGCCUGCACGCGCCUGAUGGAUGGCCUACUUUUCAAGCCAACGUUAUUCUCCCGCACCCCCUUUUUGGGCGUGUCACGUGACCGCCCAGACCCGCAAAGCUGACGUCCUCGGCAAGGCAAAACCGAGACCUUUUGACUCCCGCCAGCGCAACUUCGGACGAGAAUCAAGUCAAAGCUGAAACGGAAGAAAUGAGCGGCGGCGUGUUUAUCAAUCGCCUUUUUGUGUCUUUUUUUUUUUUUGCGGGCUGCAAAUUCUGCGUUAAGAGCGAAGACACGAAUGAUAAGGUGGAGGGAUCGAGGCCAUCGUUCAUCCGCCGCCUUCGCACGCGUUGACCCUCCGCUGUAAUUAAUAAAACAAAAUUCAAUAAUGAAGAUUUGCCUCUGAGCAUUGUUCUAAUUUUUUUUCCUGGUUUUAGUUCAUUUUAGCACCUUGUUUCCAUUUCGGUGUCUACUAUCCACAGUGUGACACAGUGCGUAAAGGGCGAGAGCUCGUCACGCUUGAGUCGCUUCCGCCCAACAACCCAAAACACAAAGAUUGACUUCUCCUCCUCCAUCUUGUCCCCCCCCCC